This 407-nucleotide ribosomal RNA is filed under the name uncultured bacterium. RNAcentral describes it as "partial 16S ribosomal RNA". It matches the Rfam family "Bacterial small subunit ribosomal RNA", at positions 29 to 526 of the family's 1533-position model. The record is from RNAcentral.
AUUGAACGCUAGCGGGAUGCCUAACACAUGCAAGUCGAACGGAGUGGCGAACGGGUGAGUAAUGUAACGGAACGUGCCCCGUCGCGGGGGAUAACUACGAGAACGCGUAGCUAAUACCGCAUACUCUUGGAGCGGCCGCUAUCGGAUUAGCUAGUUGGUGGGGUAACGGCUCACCAAGGCGACGACCCGUAGCCGGUUUGAGAGGACGAUCAGCAACACUGGGACGGAGACACGGCCCAGACUCCUACGGGAGGCAGCAGUGGGGAAUGUUGGACAAUGGGGGAAAGCCUGAGCCAGCCAUGCCGCGUGUGCGAAGAAGGCCUUCGGGUUGUAAAGCACUUUUGGCAGGGAAGCGGUACCUGCAGAAGAAGCACCGGCUAACUACGUGCCAGCAGCCGCGGUAAUUC